AACGAACGCUGGCGGCAUGCCUAACACAUGCAAGUCGAACGAGACCUUCGGGUCUAGUGGCGCACGGGUGCGUAACGCGUGGGAACCUGCCUUUAGGUUCGGAAUAACUCAGAGAAAUUUGAGCUAAUACCGGAUGAUGUCUUCGGACCAAAGAUUUAUCGCCUUUAGAUGGGCCCGCGUUGGAUUAGCUAGUUGGUGGGGUAAAGGCCUACCAAGGCGACGAUCCAUAGCUGGUCUGAGAGGAUGAUCAGCCACACUGGGACUGAGACACGGCCCAGACUCCUACGGGAGGCAGCAGUGGGGAAUAUUGGACAAUGGGCGAAAGCCUGAUCCAGCAAUGCCGCGUGAGUGAUGAAGGCCUUAGGGUUGUAAGCUCUUUACCCGAGAUGAUAAUGAC
Molecule: ribosomal RNA, 397 nt
Filed under: uncultured bacterium
Lineage: Bacteria
Description: bacterial SSU rRNA
Rfam family: Bacterial small subunit ribosomal RNA
Source: RNAcentral